RNAcentral lists this ribosomal RNA (1226 nucleotides) under uncultured bacterium. RNAcentral describes it as "bacterial SSU rRNA". It matches the Rfam family "Bacterial small subunit ribosomal RNA", at positions 185 to 1399 of the family's 1533-position model. The record is from RNAcentral.
ACCGCAUGGUAACUAUGUAAUAGGUGGCUAUACUACCGCUUUUGGAUGGGCCCGCGGCGCAUUAGCUAGUUGGUAGGGUAAAUGCUUACCAAGGCAAUGAUGCGUAGCCGAAUUGAGAGGUUGAUCGCCCACAUUGGGACUGAGACACGGCCCAAACUCCUACGGGAGGCAGCAGUAGGGAAUCUUCCACAAUGGGCGCAAGCCUGAUGGAGCAACGCCGCGUGGGUGAAGAAGGUCUUCGGAUCGUAAAACCCUGUUGUUAGAGAAGAAAGUGCGUGAGAGUAACUGUUCACGUUUCGACGGUAUCUAACCAGAAAGCCACGGCUAACUACGUGCCAGCAGCCGCGGUAAUACGUAGGUGGCAAGCGUUAUCCGGAUUUAUUGGGCGUAAAGGGAACGCAGGCGGUCUUUUAAGUUUGAUGUGAAAGCCUUCGGCUUAACCGGAGUAGUGCAUUGGAAACUGGGAGACUUGAGUGCCGAAGAGGAGAGUGGAACUCCAUGUGUAGCGGUGAAAUGCGUAGAUAUACGGAAGAACCCCAGUGGCGAAAGCGGCUCUCUGGUCUGUAACUGACGCUGAGGUUCGAAAGCGUGGGUAGCAAACAGGAUUAGAUACCCUGGUAGUCCACGCCGUAAACGAUGAAUGCUAAGUGUUGGAGGGUUUCCGCCCUUCAGUGCUGCAGCUAACGCAAUAAGCAUUCCGCCUGGGGAGUACGACCGCAAGGUUGAAACUCAAAGGAAUUGACGGGGGCCCGCACAAGCGGUGGAGCAUGUGGUUUAAUUCGAAGCAACGCGAAGAACCUUACCAGGUCUUGACAUCUUUUGACAAUCCUAGAGAUAGGACUUUCCCUUCGGGGACAAAAUGACAGGUGGUGCAUGGUUGUCGUCAGCUCGUGUAGUGAGAUGUUGGGUUAAGUCCCGCAACGAGCGCAACCCUUAUUGUUAGUUGCCAGCAUUAAGUUGGGCACUCUAGCAAGACUGCCGGUGACAAACCGGAGGAAGGUGGGGAUGACGUCAAAUCAUCAUGCCCCUUAUGACCUGGGCUACACACGUGCUACAAUGGACGGUACAACGAGUCGCAAGACCGCGAGGUUUAGCAAAUCUCUUAAAGCCGUUCUCAGUUCGGAUUGUAGGCUGCAACUCGCCUACAAGAAGUCGGAAUCGCUAGUAAUCGCGGAUCAGCAUGCCGCGGUGAAUAAGAUCCCGGCCUUUGCACUCACCGCCCGUCA